Molecule: non-coding RNA, 45 nt
Organism: Schistosoma mattheei
Lineage: Eukaryota; Metazoa; Platyhelminthes; Trematoda; Strigeidida; Schistosomatidae
Source: Rfam
AUCCAGCUGAAGAGUCCCAAAUAUAACGAAACGUGCGUCCUGGAU